GGACUUGAGCAAAAUCAGAUGUUAUUGGUGUGACGAGUUGGGGCAUCUAGCUAGAAAUUACUCUCAACUCAAAGAUCAGACGAUGGCUGCUGUAGCGACGGCCAGUAGCAUUCAGAGGAAGAUGUCUUAGAGAUAUCUGAUGAGGUAUCUACUUCUUUCCAGCAGUAAAUUUUAGAUUCCGCAUGCACCUAUCAUGUAUGUUACAGAGAGGAGCAGUUUGACUCUUUGGAGAACAGUGAGGGUACUAUUUAUCUAUCGGAUGGAUCGAGC
This 270-nucleotide long non-coding RNA is filed under the name Elaeis guineensis (African oil palm). RNAcentral's name for it is "long non-coding RNA (EGUI_LNC018690)". The record is from RNAcentral. Lineage: Eukaryota; Viridiplantae; Streptophyta; Magnoliopsida; Arecales; Arecaceae.